Molecule: long non-coding RNA, 820 nt
Organism: Camelus dromedarius (Arabian camel)
Lineage: Eukaryota; Metazoa; Chordata; Mammalia; Artiodactyla; Camelidae
Exons: 3
Source: RefSeq, a predicted model, not a curated record
UUGGCUGAAAUAGUCUUUGGCUAGAAUUUGUCCAAAGAUUUUUCUCUCUCUUAAAUUACAUGGACAGGUGGGACACCAAUAUUCCAGUAAAGACUGAGCAGUAAUUCCAGAGGAAGAGGAGGAACUAUGGACGGGUGUAUGGAGGGCAGAAUUGAGAGCAAGGACAUCUGAGGCUCUAGCCCAGGUUUGUCAGCACACCUGAGAUGGUGGCAAGAUUUGGAAAAGGAGUUACAGUAAGUACUUAUUUGAAAAGAACUUUCUGAUAAGUCUGCUUGGGGAAGAAGUUGAAAUUCCAAAGACUUCAGUAUUUUAGAGAACGGAGUGAAAACACAUACUCUACCUAAGGUUGGCCUCAUUUUUUCCCUGCUGAUGCAAGGAGGCUCUAAGCCUAUUUCCUUACAGCUUAUGAUCCAAAGGAAAGAGACCUUCUCUAUCUUGGCAUCCACAUAUCAGAUCUCAAGGGAGGCUGCUUGGACCUGUUUGGUCAUAUGCAUAUGAGUCGACCAGUCAUAGUGGACAGACAGACGAGGUACCAGGACUGGCCAGCCCUGGGCCCUGUGUCCACCCCUGUGGACAGGCAGCUGAUGGAGCUCCAUGAAUGACCAGCACUGUGGGAACCACAGGGGAGGUGCUAGUUCUCGAGCAGGAAAAGGAGCGCUGGGCAGAUAAAAUCAUCAGAUGUCCACUCCAGUUGCAUGUUUUUGGCAUAAAAAGCCAUUUCAACUAAUUUGUUUGUUAGCUCUCAGUAUAGCUGAGGUUCAUGAGUGCUACAAUUUUUUUGUAUCAAAAGCAGCAUACAGUUUUAAGCCAAUGCUUCUCA